GAUGAACGCUGGCGGUGUGCCUAAUACAUGCAAGUCGAGCGAACAGACGAGGAGCUUACUCCUCUGACGUUAGCGGCGGACGGGUGAGUAACACGUGGAUAACCUACCUAUAAGACUGGGAUAACUUCGGGAAACCGGAGCUAAUACCGGAUAACAUGUUGAACCGCAUGGUUCAACAGUGAAAGACGGUCUUGCUGUCACUUAUAGAUGGAUCCGCGUCGCAUUAGCUAGUUGGUAAGGUAACGGCUUACCAAGGCAACGAUGCGUAGCCGACCUGAGAGGGUGAUCGGCCACACUGGAACUGAGACACGGUCCAGACUCCUACGGGAGGCAGCAGUAGGGAUUCUUCCGCAAUGGGCGAAAGCCUGACGGAGCAACGCCGCGUGAGUGAAGAAGGUCUUCGGAUCGUAAAACUCUGUUAUUAGGGAAGAACAAAUGUGUAAGUAACUAUGCACGUCUUGACGGUACCUAAUCAGAAAGCCACGGCUAACUACGUG
This 497-nucleotide ribosomal RNA is filed under the name uncultured bacterium. RNAcentral's name for it is "partial 16S ribosomal RNA". It matches the Rfam family "Bacterial small subunit ribosomal RNA", at positions 28 to 507 of the family's 1533-position model. The record is from RNAcentral.